Molecule: ribosomal RNA, 440 nt
Filed under: uncultured bacterium
Lineage: Bacteria
Description: partial 16S ribosomal RNA
Rfam family: Bacterial small subunit ribosomal RNA
Source: RNAcentral
UCUACGGGAGGCUGCAGUAGGGAAUAUUGCUCAAUGGGGGAAACCCUGAAGCAGCAACGCCGCGUGGAGGAUGAAGGUUUUCGGAUUGUAAACUCCUUUUGUUAGAGAAGAUAAUGACGGUAUCUAACGAAUAAGCACCGGCUAACACCGUGCCAGCAGCCGCGGUAAUACGGAGGGUGCAAGAGUUACUCGGAUUCACUGGGCGUAAAGAGCGCGUAGGCGGGAUAGCAAGUCAGAUGUGAAAUCCUAUGGCUCAACCAUAGAACUGCAUUUUAAACUGUUAUUCUAGAGUAUAGGAGAGGUAGGUGGAAUUCUUGGUGUAGCGGUGAAAUGCGUAGAGAUCAAGAGGAAUACUCAGUGCGAAGGCGACCUGCUAGACCAUAACUGACGUUGAUGCGCGAAAGCGUGGGGAGCAAACAGGAUUAGAUACCCUAGUAGUC